RNAcentral lists this ribosomal RNA (327 nucleotides) under uncultured Rubrobacter sp. Its description in RNAcentral is "bacterial SSU rRNA". It matches the Rfam family "Bacterial small subunit ribosomal RNA", at positions 594 to 919 of the family's 1533-position model. The record is from RNAcentral. Lineage: Bacteria; Bacillati; Actinomycetota; Rubrobacteria; Rubrobacterales; Rubrobacteraceae.
GUGAAAUCUCGGGGCUCAACCCCGAGCGUGCAGUGGAUACUGCCAGGCUAGAGGCUGGUAGAGGAGAGUGGAAUUCCCGGUGUAGCGGUGAAAUGCGCAGAUAUCGGGAGGAACACCAGCGGCGAAGGCGGCUCUCUGGGCCAGUCCUGACGCUGAGGCGCGAAAGCUCGGGGAGCGAACAGGAUUAGAUACCCUGGUAGUCCGAGCCGUAAACGAUGGGCACUAGGUGUGGGGGGUAUCGACCCCUCCCGUGCCGCAGCUAACGCGUUAAGUGCACCGCCUGGGGAGUACGGCCGCAAGGCUAAAACUCAAAGGAAUUGACGGGGG